This 301-nucleotide ribosomal RNA is filed under the name uncultured bacterium. Its description in RNAcentral is "partial 16S ribosomal RNA". It matches the Rfam family "Bacterial small subunit ribosomal RNA", at positions 509 to 807 of the family's 1533-position model. The record is from RNAcentral.
CAGCCGCCGCGGGAAUACGUAGGUGGCAAGCGUUGUCCGGAAUUAUUGGGCGUAAAGGGCUCGCAGGCGGUUUCUUAAGUCUGAUGUGAAAGCCCCCGGCUCAACCGGGGAGGGUCAUUGGAAACUGGGAAACUUGAGUGCAGAAGAGGAGAGUGGAACUCCACGUGUAGCGGUGAAAUGCGUAGAGAUGUGGAGGAACACCAGUGGCGAAGGCGACUCUCUGGUCUGUAACUGACGCUGAGGGGCGAGAGCGUGGGGAGCGAACAGGAUUAGAUACCCCGGUAGUCCCUGUCUCUUAUAC